UUGAAAGGCUUCGCGUCCUAUCUGAUCUGUCCCCACCUGCCCAACAAAUAAUAGCAUGGGGCUAGAAUCUUGAUGCGCUGUAUGAAUACCAAUCGCUGCGUUGGUUGCCCCCGGUCCUCUUGUGACAAAACAAAUGCCUGGCGCGCCUGUCAGCUUGCCAUAGGCGCUCGCCACAAAGGCAGCGCCCCCCUCAUUACGACAAAGGGUGAAAUCAAACCCACCAUCUGCCAUGGCAUCAAGUGCGGCGAGGUAGGAUUCACCUGGCACGCCGAAACCGGGCCGCGCGCCCAAAGCCAUCAAAGAC
RNAcentral lists this ribosomal RNA (304 nucleotides) under uncultured eukaryote. RNAcentral describes it as "partial 18S ribosomal RNA". The record is from RNAcentral.